GACGAACGCUGGCGGCGUGCUUAACACAUGCAAGUCGAACGGAAAGGCCCUGCUUUUGUGGGGUGCUCGAGUGGCGAACGGGUGAGUAACACGUGAGUAACCUGCCCUUGACUUUGGGAUAACUUCAGGAAACUGGGGCUAAUACCGGAUAGGAGCUCCUGCUGCAUGGUGGGGGUUGGAAAGUUUCGGCGGUUGGGGAUGGACUCGCGGCUUAUCAGCUUGUCGGUGGGGUAGUGGCUUACCAAGGCUUUGACGGGUAGCCGGCCUGAGAGGGUGACCGGCCACAUUGGGACUGAGAUACGGCCCAGACUCCUACGGGAGGCAGCAGUGUGGAAUAUUGCACAAUGGGCGGAAGCCUGAUGCAGCAACGCCGCGUGCGGGAUGACGGCCUUCGGGUUGUAAACCUCUUUCGCCUGUGACGAAGCGUGAGUGACGGUAAUGGGUAAAGAAGCACCGGCUAACUACGUG
Molecule: ribosomal RNA, 468 nt
Filed under: uncultured bacterium
Lineage: Bacteria
Description: partial 16S ribosomal RNA
Rfam family: Bacterial small subunit ribosomal RNA
Source: RNAcentral